UACGUAGGGGGCAAGCGUUGUCCGGAAUCAUUGGGCGUAAAGCGCGUGUAGGCGGCUUGGUAAGUCCGGUGUGAAAACUUGGGGCUCAACCCCAAGCGUGCACCGGAUACUGCCUCGCUCGAGUCCGGGAGAGGGAAGCGGAACUCCUAGUGUAGCGGUGAAAUGCGCAGAUAUUAGGAAGAACACCGGUGGCGAAGGCGGCUUCCUGGAACGGUACUGACGCUGAGACGCGAAAGCGUGGGGAGCAAACAGG
This 253-nucleotide ribosomal RNA is filed under the name uncultured bacterium. RNAcentral describes it as "partial 16S ribosomal RNA". It matches the Rfam family "Bacterial small subunit ribosomal RNA", at positions 524 to 776 of the family's 1533-position model. The record is from RNAcentral.